CGGGGGAGGCCGGCUCCUGGGCUGUGUCCCGGCGCCCUGUGCCUCCGGGGCCUGCGCUGCUGGAUUCGCGCUUCCGCCCCGCAGCCCCCU
This 90-nucleotide microRNA precursor is filed under the name Canis lupus familiaris (dog). RNAcentral describes it as "mir-8799 microRNA precursor family". It matches the Rfam family "mir-8799 microRNA precursor family". RNAcentral also lists the same sequence under 1 other name. Lineage: Eukaryota; Metazoa; Chordata; Mammalia; Carnivora; Canidae. The record is from Rfam by way of RNAcentral.